CUCGAUUCUAUGCUUCACAAACAAGUUAUCAUUAUAAUUACGAUUUCUCGCGCUGCAUGACUGCCUUCUUUAAUUCCGAGUUCCGUAUAUCCUAUCCAGCAAGGUGUCCAAAUAAACCAUUCUCUACAUUCCGAUGACCGAGCAGAACUCACAAAUCAUACACCGCGACCCGAACCGAAGCCAGCACCGGAAAGCAGCACCAUAGCGGAGCAGAAAAAGCAACUGCCGAUAAUAAACGUGAUGACUAUAUAGAACUCUGCCGUGCCUGAUCAUCAUCGUCCAUAAACAG
This is a long non-coding RNA of Sabethes cyaneus, 289 nucleotides long. RefSeq lists it as uncharacterized. The transcript is spliced from 3 exons. The record is from RefSeq and is a predicted model, not a curated record. Lineage: Eukaryota; Metazoa; Arthropoda; Insecta; Diptera; Culicidae.